CUACAAUUUAGCUGACUGUUAUGGUUCAAAGAUUCUAUGAAUGCAGUCUCUGGUUUUUUUUUUUGUUUUCUUUUCAAGUGGUUUGCAAAACACUGGAGUAUUCCACAGCACCUAACACUCCUCCUGUUAGCGUGGGGUUCCAUGGGGAAGAUUUGCCUUCCUCUCUAUGCAUCCGAAAUAUUUAACAGGUAGGCAGGAUUCAGCUACAUGAAUCGUCAUUAACUGCUUCAACAUCAACAGAACUGACGAGGG
Pelobates cultripes (western spadefoot toad) is the source of this 252-nucleotide non-coding RNA. The record is from the annotation of a GenBank genome assembly. NCBI's taxonomy places the organism in Eukaryota, Metazoa, Chordata, Amphibia, Anura, Pelobatidae.